RNAcentral lists this ribosomal RNA (301 nucleotides) under uncultured bacterium. Its description in RNAcentral is "partial 16S ribosomal RNA". It matches the Rfam family "Bacterial small subunit ribosomal RNA", at positions 509 to 807 of the family's 1533-position model. The record is from RNAcentral.
CAGCCGCCGCGGUAAUACAAGGGGGGCAAGCGUUGUUCGGAAUUAUUGGGCGUAAAGGGCGCGUAGGCGGUUUGGCAAGUUUGGUGUGAAAUCUUCGGGCUCAACUCGAAGUCUGCAUCGAAAACUGCCGGGCUUGAGUAUGGGAGAGGUGAGUGGAAUUUCCGGUGUAGCGGUGAAAUGCGUAGAUAUCGGAAGGAACACCUGUGGCGAAAGCGGCUCACUGGACCAUUACUGACGCUGAGGCGCGAAAGCUAGGGGAGCAAACAGGAUUAGAUACCCCUGUAGUCCCUGUCUCUUAUAC